This 446-nucleotide ribosomal RNA is filed under the name uncultured bacterium. Its description in RNAcentral is "partial 16S ribosomal RNA". It matches the Rfam family "Bacterial small subunit ribosomal RNA", at positions 338 to 795 of the family's 1533-position model. The record is from RNAcentral.
CCUACGGGUGGCUGCAGUCGAGAAUCAUUCACAAUGGGGGAAACCCUGAUGGUGCGACGCCGCGUGGGGGAAUGAAGGUCUUCGGAUUGUAAACCCCUGUCAUGUGGGAGCAAAUUAAAAAGAUAGUACCACAAGAGGAAGAGACGGCUAACUCUGUGCCAGCCGCCGCGGUAAUACAGAGGUCUCAAGCGUUGUUCGGAAUCACUGGGCGUAAAGGGUGCGUAGGCGGUUUCGUAAGGCGUGUGUGAAAGGCGCGGGCUCAACCCGCGGACGGCACAUGAUACUGCGAGACUAGAGUAAUGGAGGGGGAACCGGAAUUCCCGGUGUAGCAGUGAAAUGCGUAGAUAUCGGGAGGAACACUCGUGGCGAAGGCGGGUUCCUGGACAUUAACUGACGCUGAGGCACGAAGGCCAGGGGAGCGAAAGGGAUUAGAUACCCUUGUAGUC